UUAGCCAAUCCGGGCCUGCUGGUUGCCCACUGAAGCUAAGCAGGAUGGAGCCUAGUCAGUACCUGGAUGAGAGACCUCCCGAGAAAACUAGGUUGCUGCUGAAA
This 104-nucleotide ribosomal RNA is filed under the name Sinocyclocheilus rhinocerous. Lineage: Eukaryota; Metazoa; Chordata; Actinopteri; Cypriniformes; Cyprinidae. The record is from RNAcentral.